RNAcentral lists this ribosomal RNA (460 nucleotides) under uncultured bacterium. RNAcentral's name for it is "partial 16S ribosomal RNA". It matches the Rfam family "Bacterial small subunit ribosomal RNA", at positions 338 to 795 of the family's 1533-position model. The record is from RNAcentral.
CCUACGGGUGGCAGCAGUGAGGAAUAUUGGUCAAUGGACGAGAGUCUGAACCAGCCAAGUAGCGUGAAGGAUGACUGCCCUAUGGGUUGUAAACUUCUUUUAUAUGGGAAUAAAAUGUUCCACGUGUGGGAUUUUGUAUGUACCAUAUGAAUAAGGAUCGGCUAACUCCGUGCCAGCAGCCGCGGUAAUACGGAGGAUCCGAGCGUUAUCCGGAUUUAUUGGGUUUAAAGGGAGCGUAGGUGGAUUGUUAAGUCAGUUGUGAAAGUUUGUGGCUCAACCGUAAAAUUGCAGUUGAGACUGGCAGUCUUGAGUACAGUAGAGGUGGGCGGAAUUCGUGGUGUAGCGGUGAAAUGCUUAGAUAGCACGAAGAACUCCGAUUGCGAAGGCAGUUCACUGGACUGCAACUGACACUGAGGCUCGAAAGUGUGGGUAUCAAACAGGAUUAGAUACCCCAGUAGUC